GCAUUGAUAGCUUAAGAUAGAGCAUAGCACUGAAGAUGCUAAGGUGACAAUAAUGUCUCAAAGCA
This 65-nucleotide transfer RNA is filed under the name Brunneifusus ternatanus. Its description in RNAcentral is "tRNA-Phe". It matches the Rfam family "tRNA". From Rfam's summary of the family: Transfer RNA (tRNA) molecules are approximately 80 nucleotides in length. Their secondary structure includes four short double-helical elements and three loops (D, anti-codon, and T loops). Lineage: Eukaryota; Metazoa; Mollusca; Gastropoda; Neogastropoda; Melongenidae. The record is from RNAcentral.